UACGGAGGGUGCGAGCGUUGUCCGGAAUCAUUGGGCGUAAAGGGCGCGUAGGUGGCGGGACAAGCGUGCGGUGAAAGCUCGGGGCUCAACCCCGCGUCGGCCGUGCGAACUGUUUUGCUUGAGCACUGUAGAGGCAGGCGGAAUUCCGGGUGUAGCGGUGGAAUGCGUAGAGAUCCGGAAGAACACCGGUGGCGAAGGCGGCCUGCUGGCAGUAGCUGACACUGAGGCGCGACAGCGUGGGGAGCAAACAGG
RNAcentral lists this ribosomal RNA (252 nucleotides) under uncultured bacterium. RNAcentral's name for it is "partial 16S ribosomal RNA". It matches the Rfam family "Bacterial small subunit ribosomal RNA", at positions 524 to 776 of the family's 1533-position model. The record is from RNAcentral.